RNA transcript from Amphimedon queenslandica, 1098 nucleotides. RefSeq lists it as uncharacterized. NCBI's taxonomy places the organism in Eukaryota, Metazoa, Porifera, Demospongiae, Haplosclerida, Niphatidae. The record is from RefSeq and is a predicted model, not a curated record. The transcript has 9 exons.
UGGAGAGAUACAGGCUGAACAAUAAAAUUCUCUUUUAUCAUACUCAUUCUCACUGUGAGGACCAGCUUCAGCUUUGAUUUAUCUUUUUUCUGUUAAUCUACAAAAGGAAGACGUGUCUUACAACUACUCAGUUGUGGCCUAUCAUGUGAUGAUGAUGAUGAUGAUGAUGAUGAUGAUGGUGUAGCUACUAGCCUACUACUAAUAUGAAAUAUGUCUCACCAGUGAAGAGAGAUACAGAGCUGAGACUAGUGGACAUUAAACUAAAUGAAGGAGUUGAAACAAUUCAAAUGAGUGUCAUUAAAGUGACGGUUGAAUGUAGCAGGUGUAAGUGCAGGACUGACCUCCUCUGCAAAGAAAACAAGGUUGCAUCUCAAGUAUGUUCAAAGUGUAGCCAUUGGAUAUCAGUUCAGUAUAAUCCUGAUCUGCUUCAUUCAUCUAAUCCCACACUAGCUUAUCUUGACCUUUUAAAUUGUAAAGUGACUGAUCUAAUAUUGUUAUGCUAUGAAGGUGUCUCAUAUCUUGUGUCGAGUGUGGGCGUGAUCAUCCAUUAAAGAGGUGGAGCUUUGGCUCUCCUCUCACCACCUGGUGUCGGUAUUGUCACACGUCACUUGUCCUGGGGGCAUCUCAGUGUAAAUUCAUCAUCCACCAACCAGGAGAAGGUGUAUUCAAUGAGGCUAUUGAAGGACAGAGAGUGAGUGCUAAAAAGAAGAGAGUGCCUGAUUUCAUUGACCAUUACCUAACACUGGGACUUGCCUACACUAUAAGAAAAGCCAUCGCUGGCUCAGGUUUCCAUGUUGUGGUAAAGCCUUUCCUUGUGAUGUGUGUCAUGAUUCAACUGAAGGCCAUCCAAUGGAAAGAGCUAACAGAAUGAUAUGUGGAUACUGCUCCAAAGAACAAGUUUAUAAUGGCAGUAAUCCUUGUGUGUCUUGUGGUUCUGAUAUGACACAAAGUAAGAGUUCAUCACAUUGGGAAGGAGGUCAAGGCUGCCGUAACAAAGUGAAGAUGAGCAGGAAUGAUAGACAGAAAUAUGUAAAUUCAGAGAAGAAGACAGUUUCAAUGAAAAAUGAAAGAGUUGGAGUGAAAGGAAAGAACAAUAUA